UACGGGAGGCAGCAGUGGGGAAUAUUGCACAAUGGGCGCAAGCCUGAUGCAGCCAUGCCGCGUGUACGAAAAAGGCCUUCGGGUUGUAAAGUACUUUCAGUCGUGAGGAAGGUGUUAAGGUUAAUAACCUUAGCAAUUGACGUUAGCGACAGAAGAAGCACCGGCUAACUCCGUGCCAGCAGCCGCGGUAAUACGGAGGGUGCGAGCGUUAAUCGGAAUUACUGGGCGUAAAGGGCACGCAGGCGGUUAAUUAAGUUGGAUGUGAAAUCCCCGGGCUUAACCUGGGAAUGGCAUUCAAGACUGGUUAGCUAGAGUCUUGUAGAGGGGGUAGAAUUCCGAUGUGUAGCGGUGAAAUGCGUAGAGAUGUGGAGGAAUACCGGUGGCGAAGGCGGCCCCUGGACAAAGACUGACGCUCAUGUGCGAAAGCGUGGGGAGCAAACAGGGAUUAGAUACC
Molecule: ribosomal RNA, 454 nt
Filed under: uncultured bacterium
Lineage: Bacteria
Description: bacterial SSU rRNA
Rfam family: Bacterial small subunit ribosomal RNA
Source: RNAcentral